AAGGAUUUAGGUUAAAAUAAACCCAUGGCCUUCAAAGCCAUUAAUAGAAGGAAAUUCUAAGCCUUA
Molecule: transfer RNA, 66 nt
Filed under: Prosopocoilus astacoides blanchardi
Lineage: Eukaryota; Metazoa; Arthropoda; Insecta; Coleoptera; Lucanidae
Also listed under: 1 other name
Description: tRNA-Trp
Rfam family: tRNA
About the family: Transfer RNA (tRNA) molecules are approximately 80 nucleotides in length. Their secondary structure includes four short double-helical elements and three loops (D, anti-codon, and T loops).
Source: RNAcentral